RNAcentral lists this long non-coding RNA (1217 nucleotides) under Danio rerio (zebrafish). Its description in RNAcentral is "lncRNA (ENSDARG00000098628.2)". The record is from RNAcentral. Lineage: Eukaryota; Metazoa; Chordata; Actinopteri; Cypriniformes; Danionidae.
UGAGGCUGAUACAGGAGCUGAUCAAGAAGACAAGGCAGGAACUGCUGAGGCUGAUACAGGAGCCGAUGAAGAAGCCGAGGCAAAAACUGAUGAGGCUGAUGCAGGAGCCGAUGAAAAAGACUGGCAAGGAACUGAUGAGGCUGACGCAGGAGCCGAUGAAGAAGACUGGCAAGGAACUGAUGAGGCUGACGCAGGAGCCGAUGAAGAAGACUGGCAAGGAACUGAUGAGGCUGACGCAGGAGCCGAUGAAGAAGACUGGCCAGGAACUGAUGAGGCUGAUGCAGGAGCCUCCAAUAAAGAAGUCGACGCAGGAGCCUUCAACAAAAGGAGCUGAGUGGUUUCUUCGGCAGACCGCCUUUGUCCUCAACUGCUAAAGAAGGACAAAAAAAAAAAAAAAAAACACAAGAUAGGCAAAAGUCAGUGUCAAAGCAGCAAGAAGACAAUCUCAUCAGCACAGUGUUUUGAUGUUGUGUUUCAUUGAUUAUGCUAUGGUACAUAAACAAUUAAAGACAAUAAUAAAGGGUUAUACACACUGCAAAUUUUAGAUUGUAGAUUUAACUACCUUAGAGUUCAAAUUAACACUCCCUCAGUGUUUAUAUGGGAACCACUAUAAAAGUGUUAAAAUAACACUUUUGAAAGUGUUAAAAAUUUUUACCACUCAGAGAGUGUUAAUUAGCAAACUCUUAUUGUGUAAAAUAUAUGUAAAAUGUAUAUCAAAAUACUGGCAGCAGUAGCCAAAACCAAAGAUGAAAUCAACUGAGAAUAAAACUUUUAAUAAAAUAAUAAUUAUUAAAAAAAUAAACAAAUUACAAAAUAAAAUUUAUUUUUAUUUUCAACAUCUUUAAAACAACUCAUGACAUUAAACAACUCAUCAUGGAGCUUCACUUAUUACUGAGCUUUGGCUUUAAUUCUGUCAUGUGAACAAAAGCUCUUUAUGAAAUUUCUGUUGUUCAUUUGAAGUCACCAUGAUGGAGGACAGAGUCUGCUUUAGUAGGGCUCUUCAACUUCUUGCUAUAAAAUGUUUUAUUUAUUUGGAUGCUAUAAUUAUUAGUGCUAAUCACACUAUUCUUACAUGUAGCAUGAAAAUUCAAAAGAAAAUGUAAGAGUCAGUCUGAAGAGAUUAACUUUGAUAUCAAAGCCAUCUUCUCCUGCUUGUUUUCUAAUUCAGUGUCAUAUUAGUUAUGUGUGUGAAAUAAAUAAAAUACAUAAAUGAAACC